UGACUGCCCUCAGAGUCUCCAUAUUGAUAAAUUCUUCAGUAAAGUCAGAGUGCCAUUGCAAUCUACAAUGAAGAGAAGAUGGUAAGCAGGGGUAAAAUUGUCCAGAAAAAAAUGGAUUAGGGUUUACCCAUAAGCUGAAGUACAUUCUGACUUACGUACACAAAUUGAAUCUCAUCUUUCAAUCAUCUUCCCAUUUCACGCAAACAGUCGUCAUGCUUUUAACGUGAAGGUGACUCAUCCCCACAAUUUUACGUGCGCCGAACAACACACUAACGUGCACCGCCUGCCAUGGGUAAACCCUAGCCAGCUCAUCAGCUGCUAUGAAGUAAAAUUAAUCGUAUAUGCGAAAUAA
RNAcentral lists this long non-coding RNA (352 nucleotides) under Erythranthe guttata (spotted monkey flower). RNAcentral describes it as "long non-coding RNA (EGUT_LNC000029)". Lineage: Eukaryota; Viridiplantae; Streptophyta; Magnoliopsida; Lamiales; Phrymaceae. The record is from RNAcentral.